CUUGCAGAAGCUGUCCCUGCAGCCCCCCUACUAUGAUCUGGGGGUCUCCCCCUCCUACCACCCCUCGGGCUCUGGCCUAAAGGACACUCACAGCCACUAUGCAGAGCUGGACACCUCUGCCCUGGAACUCGUGCCAGGGCUGCGGACCCCCGUGCCAGGGCCUGCAGAGGCUGUGGAAUAUGCCACCAUCCAGUUGAGCCCACCCUAGCUCAUAACCCCUAGCCACCCACCCCUGCUUCUGGACCACAGAACUCCAGGGUGAGAACAGCCACCCCCAGGACCUCCAGAGCUACCCUGACAUCUGGGAAGACCACGACCUGGGGCCAGCUGCCCACCUGCCACCCCAGGACCAUUUCCUCCAGCCUCUUUUCACUGGCCUCCCUGGGCUCUGCUCCUUCCUGUAAGGGCACUUGUGGACAAGACUGUCCCUCUCACACACACACCCUGCCCUUACCUGCUGCCUCCAGGCCAGCCUGGGACAGAAGCCCCAUCCUAUAUCUCGGUUCCCUCCUCCCAGACCUCCAGAGCCCCCAGGCUCCACCUCCCUCCACCCCGAUCACGGGGAUAAACCUGUGGGGUGAACACCUGA
This 589-nucleotide long non-coding RNA is filed under the name Homo sapiens (human). RNAcentral describes it as "non-protein coding lnc-NECTIN1-2:1". Lineage: Eukaryota; Metazoa; Chordata; Mammalia; Primates; Hominidae. The record is from RNAcentral.